GACUGGUCCAAGUGCAGUGGUGUUUACAACUAAUUGAUCACAAUCAGUUACAGAUUUCUUUGUUCCUUCUCUACUCCCACUGCUUCACUUGACUAGCCUUAA
This 102-nucleotide Y RNA is filed under the name Aotus nancymaae (Ma's night monkey). RNAcentral describes it as "Y RNA (ENSANAG00000010135.1)". It matches the Rfam family "Y RNA". Rfam says of the family: Y RNAs are components of the Ro ribonucleoprotein particle (Ro RNP), in association with Ro60 and La proteins. The Y RNAs and Ro60 and La proteins are well conserved, but the function of the Ro RNP is not known. Lineage: Eukaryota; Metazoa; Chordata; Mammalia; Primates; Aotidae. The record is from Rfam by way of RNAcentral.